RNAcentral lists this ribosomal RNA (498 nucleotides) under uncultured bacterium. RNAcentral's name for it is "partial 16S ribosomal RNA". It matches the Rfam family "Bacterial small subunit ribosomal RNA", at positions 30 to 523 of the family's 1533-position model. The record is from RNAcentral.
AUUGAACGCUGGCGGCAUGCCUUACACAUGCAAGUCGAACGGUAACAGGUCUUCGGAUGCUGACGAGUGGCGAACGGGUGAGUAAUACAUCGGAACGUGCCUAGUAGUGGGGGAUAACUACUCGAAAGAGUGGCUAAUACCGCAUGAGAUCUACGGAUGAAAGCAGGGGAUCGCAAGACCUUGUGCUACUAGAGCGGCCGAUGGCAGAGUAGGUAGUUGGUGGGAUAAAAGCUUACCAAGCCGACGAUCUGUAGCUGGUCUGAGAGGACGAUCAGCCACACUGGGACUGAGACACGGCCCAGACUCCUACGUGAGGCAGCAGUGGGGAAUUUUGGACAAUGGGCGAAAGCCUGAUCCAGCAAGGCCGCGUGCAGGAUGAAGGCCUUCGGGUUGUAAACUGCUUUUGUACGGAACGAAAAGCCCCAGGUUAAUACCCUGGGGUCAUGACGGUACCGUAAGAAUAAGCACCGGCUAACUACGUGCCAGCCGCCGCCGUAA